AAGUCGAGCGAGGUACUUGUACCUAGCGGCAGACGGGUGCGUACAUGUGGGAAUCUGCCUUUUGGUUCGGAACAACAUGGGGAAACCUGUGCUAAUACCGGAUAAGUCCUCACGGAGAAAGAUUUAUCGCCGAAAGAUGAGCCCGCACUAGAUUAGCUUGUUGGUAAGGUAAAAGCUUACCAAGGCAACGAUCUAUAGCUGAUUUGAGAGGAUGAUCAGCCACACUGGGACUGAGACACGGCCCAGACUCCUACGGGAGGCAGCAGUGGGGAAUCUUGCACAAUGGAGGAAACUCUGAUGCAGCGAUGCCGCGUGAGUGAAGAAGGCCUUUGGGUUGUAAAGCUCUUUUGUCGGGAAAGAUAAUGACUGUACCCGAAGAAUAAGGUCCGGCUAACUUCGUGCCAGCAGCCGCGGUAAUACGAAGGGACCUAGCGUAAUUCGGAAUUACUGGGCGUAAAGCGCGCGUAGGCGGUUAAGUAAGUUAAUUGUGAAAGCC
Molecule: ribosomal RNA, 496 nt
Filed under: uncultured Alphaproteobacteria bacterium
Lineage: Bacteria; Pseudomonadati; Pseudomonadota; Alphaproteobacteria
Description: bacterial SSU rRNA
Rfam family: Bacterial small subunit ribosomal RNA
Source: RNAcentral